UGCAUAGUUGAAAGUUAAUGGACCAGUCUCCGACCUAGCUUGGGGUGCUUUCUCUCACUUGGGUUGGUGUACCUAUGUUUGAGUGCUAGUUUUUGCAGGUUGGGCUGUCUAGGGAGAGAGCUUUUAUUAAACCUGAGUUUGGAGAUAAGUUUCGACAUGAAAUGGGUUGGCUUAAGGGGAGAGCAGGAAAGUUGAGGAGUCCGCCGACAUGAGUGUCUUAAGGCUGACCCAAGGCUGUUAUGAGAUUAAAAUGCCUUGGAUCUUGAUGUAAAAAACCUGCUUUUUUGGCUAGUUUAUGCUGUGCUGUUGAGCUUGGUGAUUGACUGAUCCGGUAGAGGUUGAAAAUGCGUUCCAGACUUCCAGUUGGUGGUAGGCAGUAAAAAGUUGAUGCGCUUGUCACCGAUGCCCCUUCUUUUCUUCCUCAGCCUCUGCAUCAACUCCCAUUAUGGGUGGUCGGCAAUGUUGUUUUGGUGAUUUGGAUUGUUGCAAUUCUCUGUGGACUAAGGGUAGCCAUUAAACCCUGGAAGAGUCUUGAUGAUUGCUUGUGAAACAACAACGUUAGUGAAGAUCAAACCAAGAACAACAUUCGAAAACGUUGCUGUAAUCAAUGAAGUUGCCUCCAUUCUUCGUUUCAUCUCUUGGAAAGACACUCACUCUUCUUGGAUGUUUAUG
RNAcentral lists this unclassified non-coding RNA (672 nucleotides) under Hevea brasiliensis (rubber tree). The record is from RNAcentral. Lineage: Eukaryota; Viridiplantae; Streptophyta; Magnoliopsida; Malpighiales; Euphorbiaceae.